Molecule: non-coding RNA, 1229 nt
Organism: Macaca mulatta (Rhesus monkey)
Lineage: Eukaryota; Metazoa; Chordata; Mammalia; Primates; Cercopithecidae
Source: RefSeq, a predicted model, not a curated record
UAUAGGAAAUGGAUAUUUGUGCACAUAUAUGCAUACAUACAUAUAAACAAAGCACUAUUAGUAGGCCUCAAAAACAGUGUUGUGUGAAUACAGUGAGCAUAUUCUAAGAAGUGGAUGGCUGUCUAUAAAUAAAUGACUUAUGCAUUCUAUUUCUCUCACUCCUGCACUUACCAAGAUGAAGGGGUUUUCCCAGCUUUCACUUGAGUACACUCUUGGAAAUGAGAUUCUCUUCCUUUGAUUAUUUCAGGUUGACAAAUUUAUACCAAAAUAGUGGGUUUUUAUAAUCAAUAUCUUUAGGAUUGAUUUUCCUAAAUAUUAUUUUUUAAAAUAUUGAAUUGUAUCCCUUGUUUGUCUUUUAUUUUCCACAAGCAGAUGAAACUUCCUCACAAGCCGAUGGAAGAACCUGUGCGUGUCACUUCAGGGAAGUUACAUAGCAGGGUGGAAGUAGAAUGAACCUACACAUUUUGAAAACAUUUUUUUACUUUGGUCCUUGGAGGACCUAAGGGGCUUGUAAAGAAGAAGAAGGGGGUAGACUGUGAGUCUGCAGCUAAAAGGAGGAGAGAGAUGACCCAGCAACCUAGAGAAGCAGGAAGAAAGUGUUUAUUCUACCUUCCUCUCCUCCCCAGAAUUCUGCAGUGUCUGGAGAAGAGCAGAGUGGUCUCCAGUCCCCAGGAGAGGCCUGGGCCAGACCCUGCUGAAUGCAGAGAGUUAUCUGCAGGGACUAUUUAUUCGUUUCCUGGUGCUCUAGGACACAGCAGAGAGAGCUGACUGGAUGUUCCGGGAUGAAUGGAGAUGCUAAAAGCCUAUGGAACUGGGUAAUAUCAGCAGAGAUUCCAAAUCCCUGAGCCCCCACUGAGUGAGGUUCCUCUGGUGAACUGGGAAGAUGCAGCUGUGCUGAGAAAGCUUCACCUGCUCCUUUGUAGUUCAGUCAGCCAUGAAAGACACCCUUGAAUGCAACCACCUAAGAGCACCUAUGCUGAUUGACAGGUUCUGGCGAUGUGGACAGCUUUUAAGUCAGAGGAUGAUGGCCUUUGGACUGGCCCUGCUUCAAAGGGAUGGCUGAGUGUUUACCAUCUGCAAAGGGGUCAUGCAAUGUGGCUUUUUGGCUCCAUUCCAGUAGGUGGCAGCAUUGCCCAAUGACCAGGAGUGUAAAAGUACGUGCAUCUGUGUGGGGGGGUGUGUGUGUGUUUGUGUGAGAUUUUUGGGUUAUGUUUAGUUUAUUCGUGUGU